Molecule: ribosomal RNA, 343 nt
Filed under: Cryptococcus sp. 05/00
Lineage: Eukaryota; Fungi; Basidiomycota; Tremellomycetes; Tremellales; Cryptococcaceae
Also listed under: 2 other names
Description: eukaryotic LSU rRNA
Rfam family: Eukaryotic large subunit ribosomal RNA
Source: RNAcentral
GAAUUCCAUCUAAAGCUAAAUAUUGGCGAGAGACCGAUAGCGAACAAGUACCGUGAGGGAAAGAUGAAAAGCACUUUGGAAAGAGAGUUAAACAGUACGUGAAAUUGUUGAAAGGGAAACGAUUGAAGUCAGUCAUGCUCUUUGGAUUAAGCCGUUCUGCGGUGUAUUUCAUUGAGCGGGGUCAACAUCAGUUUUGAUCGCUGGAAAAGGGCAGGAGGAAGGUAGCACUCUCGGGUGAACUUAUAGCCUCUUGUCGUAUACAGUGAUUGGGACUGAGGAACGCAGCAUGCCUUUUGGCCGGGAUUCGUCCACGUACAUGCUUAGGAUGUUGACAUAAUGGCUU